GGCUCCAUAGUAUAGUGAUUAGCACGUCUGCUUUACACGCAGAAGAUCCUAGGUUUGUGCCCCAGGUGGAACCA
RNAcentral lists this transfer RNA (74 nucleotides) under Pteropus alecto (black flying fox). It matches the Rfam family "tRNA". From Rfam's summary of the family: Transfer RNA (tRNA) molecules are approximately 80 nucleotides in length. Lineage: Eukaryota; Metazoa; Chordata; Mammalia; Chiroptera; Pteropodidae. RNAcentral also lists the same sequence under 1 other name. The record is from Rfam by way of RNAcentral.